CACCAGCGGCUUGAUCUGCCCGGCCGACUGACAUGGUGUAAGUUUAGCACGUCAUAAUUUAGUAGGCCACUCCCUAUGUAUCAUAUCUUAGCACACUAUCCACAUUAUUAGUGGUGAUAAUUCAUAAGACUAGUGGAGUGCCCGUGCGUUGCUACGGCGGAUACCCGAUCCAGAUGUAUGUCUAUGAGUAUACCCGAAGAGUCGCCCGAUUAUUCAUGUGUAGGUUAUGUAUAUAAGUUUAUGCCAGCUUAUCCUUACUAUACACAAAAUUAAUUUCUAAUAGCAGUCUCAGCACAUGACAUGACAAAUUGGAGGCAAGGGUUCACCUCAAAUAAAAGAUUGUACUAUUUUUCAAUCGGUGGCUCAGAUCAUUUUCCAGUGUAAAAAAAAUAAAAAUAGAACGGGACGAUGGGUCUGCAGGUUGGAGCUCCACAAUCUCCUAAUUUUUUUUUUGACUAUUUCCAGGAUAAGAUACAUUGCGUAC
Molecule: long non-coding RNA, 484 nt
Filed under: Brachypodium distachyon (stiff brome)
Lineage: Eukaryota; Viridiplantae; Streptophyta; Magnoliopsida; Poales; Poaceae
Description: long non-coding RNA (BDIS_LNC000869)
Source: RNAcentral